This 249-nucleotide long non-coding RNA is filed under the name Lathyrus oleraceus (garden pea). RNAcentral describes it as "Pisum sativum (pea) long non-coding RNA (PSAT_LNC034035)". Lineage: Eukaryota; Viridiplantae; Streptophyta; Magnoliopsida; Fabales; Fabaceae. The record is from RNAcentral.
AGACAUUUACCGAUGACUGGGAAAGAACUCGACGUUUACCGACAUCGAACAAUGAUGUUUACCGACACCAAAGAAAGGACACACGACCAGACAUUUACCGAUGACAGGGAAGGAACUCGACAUUUACCGACAUCGAACAAUGAUGUUUACCGACACCAAAGAAAGGACACACGACCAGACAUUUACCGAUGACUGGGAAGGAACUUGACGUUUACCGACAUCGAACAAUGAUGUUUACCGACACCAAAG